CUGUUCUCAGGUGCAAGGUCUGCUCUCCAUGGUGGCUGACCUCGGGGAGGAGGUGGAGACUAAGAAGCAUCAGGGUGUGUGAGGAGGUGAUGGACUGGUGGAGUAACUCCCUGGUGUGCCAGAGGGAUGCAGCCCAGAGGAUGGUAGAGCCCCUGCCCCGUCGCUGUUGGGCAGAGGGAGGGGACUAAUAAGAUGAGGAGGGUUGGAAGGGAGUCCCAGUUUGGCACCAUGGGCAACCACCCUCCCUACCUACCUAGUUUCCCCAGGUGCCCCUGCAUAAUAGGUUUGAGACCCUGGAUCUUGAAGGAGAGGGUAUUGAUGUUACAUAAACAUGAAAUAUUGAGAGUGGAGUCACAGACGGUGGAUGAACUAGCCUGAAGAGAUCUUUGGAAGUCGGAGGAGUAGCUGGAUAUCUCAAGGACACCCAUUACCUGAAGGGUGAUGAGUGCCAGUACAGCUCACAGUUAUUUUUAUCAUAAUACUUGAUGCAUAAAAAUUCUUAUGUCAUUUUUUAUUAAAAUAUAAACAAAUAGAUAAAUAAGGCAGUUGCUGUAUGAGUAAAAGUCCCAAAUACUUACUAUGAAUUACUAUUACAGUGCUAGAUGACCCAACAAUACAAUCUUGUGUGCUGAGAAACAGAAUAAAGCCAUGAACUCUAAAGGUCCAGUAUUUUGGGGGAGAAAGUAGUACUUUGAAGGUCAAAAGUCAUCAUUACAUAAGGUCAUAUAGCAUUUUUCUAUUUCUAUAUUUUUCUAUUUUUCUAAAUUGAAGUGGACACUAGUUUUUAGAAGUAGCUCGCUAAGAAGUAAGACCUAUCAUGCAACAACUUUACUUGAUGUAAAAUGUAUAGUUUGAACUGAAUAUAAAGAACAAGAAAAUUUGCUUCCCCCCAUUCUACCAAGAGUAUCCCAGCCAGCAUUUCCUUCAGAUGAGUUUUUCAAGUCUUUUUGGUGCUGCAGAUUUCAGGUUUGUGAAAAAGUUUACUAGGUCAUUUCAGUACAAGUUAAAAAUUCUCAAGUCCUAUAUUCACAGACGGAGUCAUGUAUCACUGUAAUUUUAG
This 1060-nucleotide long non-coding RNA is filed under the name Cairina moschata (Muscovy duck). RNAcentral describes it as "domestica (muscovy Duck (domestic type)) lncRNA (ENSCMMG00000015941.1)". Lineage: Eukaryota; Metazoa; Chordata; Aves; Anseriformes; Anatidae. The record is from RNAcentral.